GAUGAACGCUGGCGGCGUGCCUAAUACAUGCAAGUCGAGCGAACAGACGCGGCUUUUGCUCCUCUGACGUUUGCCGCACACGUGUGUGUCACAUGUGUAUCACCUCCCUAUAUGUCUGGUAUCUCUUCGGGACUCCGGAUCUAAUCCCGUAUAAUCUCUUGAUCCGUAUGGUUCAUUUGUGAAUUUCGGUUUUUCUGUCUCUUCUCGCUGCUUCGGGGCCUCAUUUGCUAGUUGUUACGGUAACGGCUUACCAAGGCAACGAUGCGUAGCCGACCGGAGAGGGUGAUCGGCGACACGGGAACUGAGACACGGACCAGACGCCUACGGGAGGCAGCAGAAGGGAAUGUGCGGCAAUGGGCGAAAGCAUGACGGAGCAAGGCGGCGUGAGUGAUGAAGGUCUUCGGAGCGGAAAGCUCGGUUAUUAGGGAAGAACAAAUGUGGAAGAAAAAGGGCAGGGAAUGACGGUAACGAAUCAGAAAGCAACGGCUAACUACGUG
RNAcentral lists this ribosomal RNA (497 nucleotides) under uncultured bacterium. RNAcentral's name for it is "partial 16S ribosomal RNA". It matches the Rfam family "Bacterial small subunit ribosomal RNA", at positions 28 to 507 of the family's 1533-position model. The record is from RNAcentral.